RNAcentral lists this long non-coding RNA (227 nucleotides) under Solanum tuberosum (potato). Its description in RNAcentral is "long non-coding RNA (STUB_LNC008139)". The record is from RNAcentral. Lineage: Eukaryota; Viridiplantae; Streptophyta; Magnoliopsida; Solanales; Solanaceae.
CAUUCAAGACUUUAAGUAACAAGGAGGGACACUUUAGUCUACCAACCAAGUCACAACAUUUUCAUUUAAGGAUACUUCAUAAUCCAACAUCAUUUCACAUAUACAUCAUGAGAAAUCAUACUUUAACUCACAAUGCUAUCCACUUUACAUAGGAUCAUCACAAGAUCACAUAAAACUCAUUCACACCAUUCCUUCACAUAUAGCUUCACAUAAAACUCAUUCACAUC